RNAcentral lists this long non-coding RNA (1033 nucleotides) under Bemisia tabaci. Its description in RNAcentral is "lncRNA ENSASIAIIG009719". The record is from RNAcentral. Lineage: Eukaryota; Metazoa; Arthropoda; Insecta; Hemiptera; Aleyrodidae.
UCUGAAUCUCAUGGUUUUGCAUCUCCGUCUCCGAAGUCAUCGGGGGUCGUCUUGUUCCCCAGCUAUGCAGAUUUCUUCAGAUCGCUCGCUCAGUCUGCCUCCUAUGUGAAGUCUAAUCAUGCUUAUAGUUAUGACCAGUAAGAUCCUCUUUGCUUCAGCAUACUUAAAAGUGUAUUUUGCAGUUGGAAAGUAGGUACAGUGCUUUUCUCGCAGUGGCCAGACUACACUUUUCUCAUUUGACGGCUAACAAGAGCUCAUGAUGUGAGCGACUGCACAGCAUAAUAGAUCAGAUCAUCCAGGACGUCAUCAUGCUUUUCCAGAACUCUUGUUGUUUAUAAGAUUAAUGGACUCCAUUAAUUAAUGUACGUGACAUUGUUCUGGAAAAGUGCGUCGAUAGUCCAUCGGAGCAUCGGAAGAGGAUUCUCAUUCACUUCAAGCCUGGCACUCCGUCUACAAGAUCCUAUGUCCUCCUCCUGGGCCAGUUUCUUUACCAAGUUAUUCAUUCGCAGAAUGUACAGCAAACGCCAUUUCCUAUGAAACUGGCCCAGGAGGAGGACAUAGGAUCUUGUAGACGGAGUGCCAGGCUUGAAGUGAAUGAGAAUCCUCUUCCGAUGCUCCGAUGGACUAUCGACGCACUUUUCCAGAACAAUGUCACGUACAUUAAUUAAUGGAGUCCAUUAAUCUUAUAAACAACAAGAGUUCUGGAAAAGCAUGAUGACGUCCUGGAUGAUCUGAUCUAUUAUGCUGUGCAGUCGCUCACAUCAUGAGCUCUUGUUAGCCGUCAAAUGAGAAAAGUGUAGUCUGGCCACUGCGAGAAAAGCACUGUACCUACUUUCCAACUGCAAAAUACACUUUUAAGUAUGCUGAAGCAAAGAGGAUCUUACUGGUCAUAACUAUAAGCAUGAUUAGACUUCACAUAGGAGGCAGACUGAGCGAGCGAUCUGAAGAAAUCUGCAUAGCUGGGGAACAAGACGACCCCCGAUGACUUCGGAGACGGAGAUGCAAAACCAUGAGAUUCAGAGUAAGAAAAACA